Molecule: long non-coding RNA, 933 nt
Filed under: Monodelphis domestica (gray short-tailed opossum)
Lineage: Eukaryota; Metazoa; Chordata; Mammalia; Didelphimorphia; Didelphidae
Description: lncRNA (ENSMODG00000035264.2)
Source: RNAcentral
GAUUCUAUACAAUAGGCCUUUAUGACAUUUGUCUCUUUCUGGUACAGAAUGUGACACAUGUAGGAAUAUAGUUAGGGAUAAGUCUGGUUUCUAGGGUUAGUUGCAAGAAGGGAGUUUUGAGAUAAGCCCUGGGAAAUGAUUCAGGGUAAGAAAGGAAUUGUGGGAGUCUAAAACUGAAAAUAACUGAACUAAACUUCCAUCUUGGAUUUCAUCUCUCUGCCUACAUUUCCAUCAAGCUGAAGAUGGGGGUUUGCUCUAAAACAUUCUUCCUGGAUAGCCAAGAUUUUGUGGAGAAAUCUUUGACAUCUAGGUAGAGGAUUAUUUGGAGGAAACCAAUUUUCCCUGAGUCUAAAUAUCAUCUUCUAGUGGUUCAGCUGCCAGAAUUCCUCUUGGCUAAGCUCUUAUAAUACAGAUUGUAAUCCAUCCAAGUCUUCUCAUCCUAUGCAACUAUUAUCCGGGAACUCUCCUAACUUCACCAUAAGAAGACUACUCAUUCUCUUGACAUUCUGAAGAUACAGGGAAACACCGCUUUUCAAGAACCACAACAAAAACAACAACAGCCAGAAAAAAGGGAAAAAAAACCCCACUUUCAGAGAGUGCUAAAAUAUCAUUUCGGUCUUCGCAUGGAAGCAUGGCAAAAGGCAUAUUAAUGAAGUCAGGCAGACAGCUUAUACCAUUUGAUUUGUCCAUUUAGACCAAAAGGAUUUAGCACCUAGAUCUAAUGCUAGUAAAAUGGGUACGGGGGAAACCAAGGUAAACAUUUUGUGACCUGUGAAGCUUGAAAACGGAUGUAGUUGGUGCCAUUCAUUCAAUUCAGCAAGCAAGUACCAACUACCUACUAUGUGUCAGGUCAUGCACCGGUGCUAAAACAAAGAUGCAAUAUCUUGAGGAGAUUACAUUUACUUUAUUGCCUUAUAAAUACUUGGAAGGAAG